This 67-nucleotide transfer RNA is filed under the name marine eukaryotic metagenome. It matches the Rfam family "tRNA". From Rfam's summary of the family: Transfer RNA (tRNA) molecules are approximately 80 nucleotides in length. Their secondary structure includes four short double-helical elements and three loops (D, anti-codon, and T loops). Further hydrogen bonds mediate the characteristic L-shaped molecular structure. tRNAs have two regions of fundamental functional importance: the anti-codon, which is responsible for specific mRNA codon recognition, and the 3' end, to which the tRNAs corresponding amino acid is attached (by aminoacyl-tRNA synthetases). tRNAs cope with the degeneracy of the genetic code in two manners: having more than one tRNA (with a specific anti-codon) for a particular amino acid; and 'wobble' base-pairing, i.e. permitting non-standard base-pairing at the 3rd anti-codon position. The record is from RNAcentral.
UCGGUAGCUCAGUUGGUAGAGCAGAGGACUGAAAAUCCUUGUGUCGGCAGUUCGAUUCUGUCCCGAG